AGUGAAUGCUAUCCAGUAAGUAGUUAAAACUCAUUUUAUCACAUCGCAACACAAACACAACCUCAAUGGACUAAAUGUAGACCAUCUUCAUCUUAUUUCAUUUUAUAAAAUGUUUAUUAUUUCCUUCCUAUUAAAAAAUAAGUUUUCAAAUUAGGAUAAACGAUUUUACAUAUUCCACUUUAAAAUGUGCAAGAAGUUUUACAAAAUUCUUUUAGAUUGCAGGUGAUAAAGGCUGGACUGACCAUCCUUUAAGCAGCACGCAUUGCACGAACCACUGGGAAUACCAGGAGAACACGGUACAAACGGCCUCUCCCUCAUAAUCCUCUGGCCUCCCCUGCCCUCUCCGGAAAACACCUGCCUCUGGUGACUGUUGUGAAGACGCACAUGUGCGGUGUAGACCACCCCAUACAAAGUUGGUGCCGAAAACGGGGUACGUUCUUAUCAUUGUUGCUGUCAGACCAAAGGGUAAGAGUUUGUCCCUUGCAUGAAACCCGUGGAUCUCCAGGAUAGGGAAAGCCAGAAGAAAGCGCGUGCGACUUUCCGGAUCGGAAGCAGCUUCCUUUCCUCUCAGUCCAACUUUCACUGCAGCCACUGCUUUGGCGACCAGCCCAGCACAAGCGAACCGGAAGCACGCCUGCCGGCACUGGCUUCCGGUCUACCCAGGCUGCUCUGCAGCGGCGCAUGCGCAGCACGACAGGCCGUUUUCCUUGAGGCGUAAUUGCUGACCGCGUGUCGUGUGGGCCCGACCGUAGACGCUCGAGAGUUCUAAGUCUCGCUGGGUAAGGCGUCUCAGAGAGGGCGCACCCGGCGGCCCACAGCAGGCGCCGGCUCAAGGAAGCCCCUUGGCACUGGCUGUGCUGCCUUGUGCGUUUCGCUUUCCCAGUCUCUCGUCCCAGACCCCGGGCUCCCUUCCCUAAUGAAUUGCAUGCACGCAAGCCCUUGUCUCGGACUUUGCUUUGGAGGGAAAACCAGGCUAAAACAUCUGUAGAAAGAAAAUAUUAACUGGGCAGAAUUUUGUUGUUAGAGGAGUUAUAAAAUUAACCACACAAUGAAAUAGUGUGCAACCAUUACAAAUAGUGGGGUAAAUCAAUCCAGGUGACGUCAGAAACUUCUAAGAUAUUGUUCAAUGAGAAAAGCAAGAUGCAGAGCAGUGUGCAUAAUAUGAUCCCAUUUUGUAAAACAAAAAAUAGCUUCCCAAAAAAGCCCCGUAUCUGUAUAUAAAUACACUUAUUUGUAAAUGUGUGUGUAUAUAUAUAAGCAUUUAUUUUAAAAUUUUAUAUAUGUAAACUUAAAAAAAGGAUAUGUACUAGUUUGUUAAAUGUGUUUGGGGGCGUGGGAAUGGAAAGGAGGAGGUUAGUAAAACAAAGAAAAAGAGGUCCUUAUUUAAAAAAUAAAUCAUGUAUGACAGGAUAUUAUUCCAUUCAGGUAAAAUCAUACGAACGUGAGUCAAUGCCUGUGACAGAUGAAAGGAGGAUCAUCACCAACGUGCUGAUGUUCAUCAUCCCUGGAUGUGGGGCUGCAGGUGAGGCAGCUUCCCAUUCCGGGAAGAAAGAUAAAAAAGAAGAGAGGAGGGAAGAAAAGAGGGAGAGAAAGAAGAAGGGGGGCAAAAAGGGAAGGAGGAAGAGAGAGAGAACAAGGAGGAGGAGCACAAGGACAAUGAAAGAAAGGAAAGAAGGAAAAGGAAAGAAAGAAAAUGCCCCAAAGGUUCCACUUGGAUGCUGGUGGGACAAGGUGGCCCUGGCAAACCUCCCCCUCCUCCCCGGUGUCAGGCCUGACCUGAAGGAUUCUCUUCCCAGCUUCCUGAUCAUCCCUGUUCUUCCAGAAGCACGCAGGUUCAUGUUGGUGAUCUAUUUUUUUCUUAAUUGAGAUGCAACUGUUAGUAUGGUACAUUUUGCUGACAUUCAUGUCACAUUUCCUAGAUACCAGAUAAAAAAUACUUUUAAUUAGUUAUAAAUGAGAAUGUAUACACAACAAUUCUGAAACUGUGUCUUCCUCAAAGUUUGCUUCCAAGUAUGAUACAUGUGGCUUUAGUGCCAAUUCUUAUUAAUUGUGUAAUGCAGUCUGCUGACACCCGUGACACAUUUCCCCAUAUCCAGUCACAAAAAUACUUCUAAUUAGCCAUAAAUGAGAGUGUACACACAACAUUUCCAAUAGCCACUCUGUUCCUCUCAAAGUUCACGUCAGAGAAAACUUAAACUGUUGCCACUGAGCUGCCUUGCUCCAAUUCCAACAACUCCUAUUUCAGAAGUGCUUAGAAAGUUGAAUCUUUAGAUCUUGCUUGGUAAACAGAUCUGAGGUAGAUUUAUUUCAACCCGAGUCCUCUAUUUGAGAUACAUGUGCUCCCAAACCCAACUAAAAUGCAUACCAUGGCCAUUUCAAAGGCAGUGAUAAAAUUACUUGGUUAAAUAUUUUGGCUAGAUUUCCUGUUUCCAGAGGCCCAGGCAUUAUAUUCUGUGGCUUCUGCGUUUGCACAUGGCGAUGGGGCGGUAUUAAAUGGCACCACAUCUGCCAGCCUCCGUAAGAACCAUGCCCCACAGGGAAGCCCCAGGCACCCAUCCACCGCUAUGAGCCACACAGACUGGGACGGACGACUCCAGACCUCAAUAACCACCUUCAAGUUCCCAGACCUUUAACUUUCUUCAGGAAUCCAGGCUGUAAGCCUCUUAAGAUGAUCCCAGACCAUAAAGUACCUCCCUCAGUUCAAAGUGUGGAGUCUAUAAAAUCACUCUAGUUAUAAUUCAGAUAUUCUCCAAACUCGAGGCUGUGAAGCAUUCUGAUCUGCUCUUAGAUUUCUGUAUAAUCUCUCCUUCAUUUCACAACAGGCUUUGUCUUCUGUAGCUCUGUGCAGAUGGCAAUCCUUUGUAAGUCAUGAGGCCAUGAUUUGUGCAUGGUACAUCACAGUGAAAGGGGGGCUUUAUGUCAGGGGAGGAAAAACAGUUCUGUUAAACUUUGCUUACUUUCACUACCUUUAAAAACUCAUUAAAUAGGAUUCUGCCUUUUACUUGCCGAAGUGUUUAAAACCCUUUUUAAUGAAAAAUUCUAAUCCUAUAUAAUCACACCAUAAGUACUUUCUUUCUGUUCAAAGAGGAAACAGUGUAAUUUUAAUGCAUACCUCUGGCAGGCUAUAAUAAAAGCGUUCAGUCAGUUUUAAAUCGGAUUAGUGUAACUGUUACAGAUUAGAGAAAAACCUCAAGUGAUUGAAGCAAGUCCCCCACUCAAGGGAACUAAUUUAGGGUCCAGGCCUGAUCAUACCAGACUUGAAGGGAACAUCAAGAGUCUUGCCUUCAGUUUGCCCAAAAUUUGUUCACAAGCUCAUACAAUAAGGUCCUGUGCUAGGUAUUACAGCCAUAUAAAGACAAGCCUUCCAAUGGGAGGCAGACCAGAUGGAAUGCAGCCCUAGACAAUGUGGAAUGAAGGGAAGAGCAGGAGAAGUGGGGCCUCCUUAGAGAAUGCAGAAUGGACAAAAUCACAUCUCAGAGAGAGAACCAUGGAGAUGUCUUAGAGGAUGAAACUUCUAAACGAGGCCUUAAAAGACAGACAGGUGAAGAGACAGGGACAUCCUUGGUAGGGUGGGAAAGGGUAUAAAAUUUUCCGAGAAUUAGGAAAAUUGAGUUGUUUAGAACAUGGAGAAGGGGAAGGGAAUGCCUCUGUGUCGAGGGCUGCUUUGUAGCAGGCACUGUACCAGGCACCUACAUCUCUUUUCUCAUUUAGUCCCCACAACAUCCCAGCGAGGUGGGUAUUACCCCCAUUUUAUAGAUGAGAAGACUGAACCUCAGGGAGAUUCUCCAACUUGUCUAAGGUCAAACAGCUAGCAAGUGCUUGCACUCAGAAGAAAAAUAUGGUUGAGCUUCUCUCAAUAAUUAGUCUAGGGAACUCCCCAAAUCGCUCCUUCCUCUUAGCCAUCAUUAGGGCCCAGCUUGUUCCAAAAGACUUUCCUGACCACCUGAGUUAGAAAUAUCUCUAGUCCCUGAAUUCAUAGCAUUCUUAAUUCUGUUACCCAAGAGGCAUUUAUUGUACCCUGGCUUAUAUUGUUAUCUUUUCUCGUGCAAAUGUUUACCUCAGUGCUUCUUCCUUGGUAGGAUCCGUUGUGUAGAGCAGGAAUAUCAAAAACAUCUGAGAAUAAAUGCACAUAUAUAUUUUUAAAUGUUUAUAUUUAUGAAACUGCCAUCCCACCCACCUUGCUUGGCCUUCUUCCAUAGUCUAAUAC
Long non-coding RNA from Equus asinus (donkey), 4207 nucleotides. Lineage: Eukaryota; Metazoa; Chordata; Mammalia; Perissodactyla; Equidae. The record is from Ensembl.